RNAcentral lists this unclassified non-coding RNA (377 nucleotides) under uncultured Gammaproteobacteria bacterium. RNAcentral's name for it is "contains 16S-23S intergenic spacer region". The record is from RNAcentral. Lineage: Bacteria; Pseudomonadati; Pseudomonadota; Gammaproteobacteria.
UCCGGUUCAUCACCGGCAGUCCCCUUAGAGUCCCCAACUUUACUCGCUGGCAACUAAGGGCAAGGGUUGCGCUCGUUACGGGACUUAACCCAACAUCUCACAACACGAGCUGACGACAGCCAUGCAGCACCUGUCUCUGCGCUCCUUUCGGCACAGCUCCCUCUCAGAAGCCUUCGCAGGAUGUCAAGAGUAGGUAAGGUUCUUCGCGUUGCAUCGAAUUAAACCACAUGCUCCACCGCUUGUGCGGGCCCCCGUCAAUUCCUUUGAGUUUCAACCUUGCGGCCGUACUUCCCAGGCGGAAGACUUAUCGCGUUAGCUUCAAUACUGCUAGGUUCCCCUAGCAACAUCUAGUCCUCAUCGUUUACAGCGUGGACUAC